RNAcentral lists this ribosomal RNA (497 nucleotides) under uncultured bacterium. RNAcentral describes it as "partial 16S ribosomal RNA". It matches the Rfam family "Bacterial small subunit ribosomal RNA", at positions 28 to 507 of the family's 1533-position model. The record is from RNAcentral.
GAUGAACGCUGACGGCGUGCCUAAUACAUGCAAGUCGAGCGAACGGACGAGAAGCUUGCUUCUCUGAUGUUAGCGGCGGACGAGUGAGUAACACGUGGAUAACCUACCUAUAAGACUGGGAUAACUUCGGGAAACCGGAGCUAAUACCGGAUAAUAUUUUGAACCGCAUGGUUCAAAAGUGAAAGACGGUCUUGCUGUCACUUAUAGAUGGAUCCGCGCUGCAUUAGCUAGUUGGUAAGGUAACGGCUUACCAAGGCAACGAUGCAUAGCCGACCUGAGAGGGUGAUCGGCCACACUGGAACUGAGACACGGUCCAGACUCCUACGGGAGGCAGCAGUAGGGAAUCUUCCGCAAAGGGCGAAAGCCUGACGGAGCAACGCCGCGUGAGUGAUGAAGGUCUUCGGAUCGUAAAACUCUGUUAUUAGGGAAGAACAUAUGUGUAAGUAACUGUGCACAUCUUGACGGUACCUAAUCAGAAAGCCACGGCUAACUACGUG